CUCAGUUUAUGUUCCAAGUAUAAUAAGCCACCACUAGAACUCAAAUAGUGUGCUGCUUCAGCUUCGUUAAUUGAAAGAGCAGCUUUUGAACAUUUGUUUUCUUGGCAUAUAAAACAAUAUAAAACAAGCCAUGACAUCUCACUCAUGGAAACUUCUAUGCCCACCGUGACUUCAUUGAUUACUAUUUUUCAAUGCAGUUAAGUCAACCACCAAUUCUGGUCAUUAUAUCACAAGGCUACUUGGUUCUCACUUGCUUUAUAAUAAAACAUCUUCUGUACAUAAAAAAUCAUGUAGCCUUGUGCAGCCCUCACAAU
Molecule: unclassified non-coding RNA, 314 nt
Filed under: Hevea brasiliensis (rubber tree)
Lineage: Eukaryota; Viridiplantae; Streptophyta; Magnoliopsida; Malpighiales; Euphorbiaceae
Source: RNAcentral